Molecule: ribosomal RNA, 410 nt
Filed under: Streptomyces sp. PWB-011
Lineage: Bacteria; Bacillati; Actinomycetota; Actinomycetes; Kitasatosporales; Streptomycetaceae
Description: bacterial SSU rRNA
Rfam family: Bacterial small subunit ribosomal RNA
Source: RNAcentral
CCUUCACUCUGGGACAAGCCCUGGAAACGGGGUCUAAUACCGGAUACCACCUUCACUGGCAUCUGUGAAGGUUGAAAGCUCCGGCGGUGAAGGAUGAGCCCGCGGCCUAUCAGCUUGUUGGUGAGGUAAUGGCUCACCAAGGCGACGACGGGUAGCCGGCCUGAGAGGGCGACCGGCCACACUGGGACUGAGACACGGCCCAGACUCCUACGGGAGGCAGCAGUGGGGAAUAUUGCACAAUGGGCGAAAGCCUGAUGCAGCGACGCCGCGUGAGGGAUGACGGCCUUCGGGUUGUAAACCUCUUUCAGCAGGGAAGAAGCGAAAGUGACGGUACCUGCAGAAGAAGCGCCGGCUAACUACGUGCCAGCAGCCGCGGUAAUACGUAGGGCGCAAGCGUUGUCCGGAAUUAU